RNAcentral lists this ribosomal RNA (583 nucleotides) under uncultured fungus. Its description in RNAcentral is "eukaryotic LSU rRNA". The stretch from base 212 to 365 matches the Rfam family "5.8S ribosomal RNA". Lineage: Eukaryota; Fungi. The record is from RNAcentral.
CUUGGUCAUUUAGAGGAAGUAAAAGUCGUAACAAGGUUUCCGUAGGUGAACCUGCGGAAGGAUCAUUACCUAGAGUUUGCAGACUUCGGUCUGCUACCUCUUACCCAUGUCUUUUGAGUACCUUCGUUUCCUCGGCGGGUCCGCCCGCCGAUUGGACAACAUUCAAACCCUUUGCAGUUGCAAUCAGCGUCUGAAAAAACAUAAUAGUUACAACUUUCAACAACGGAUCUCUUGGUUCUGGCAUCGAUGAAGAACGCAGCGAAAUGCGAUAAGUAGUGUGAAUUGCAGAAUUCAGUGAAUCAUCGAAUCUUUGAACGCACAUUGCGCCCCUUGGUAUUCCAUGGGGCAUGCCUGUUCGAGCGUCAUUUGUACCUUCAAGCUCUGCUUGGUGUUGGGUGUUUUGUCUCGCCUCCGCGUGUAGACUCGCCUUAAAACAAUUGGCAGCCGGCGUAUUGAUUUCGGAGCGCAGUACAUCUCGCGCUUUGCACUCAUAACGACGACGUCCAAAAGUACAUUUUUACACUCUUGACCUCGGAUCAGGUAGGGAUACCCGCUGAACUUAAGCAUAUCAAUAAGCGGAGGA